RNAcentral lists this microRNA precursor (75 nucleotides) under Dracunculus medinensis (Guinea worm). RNAcentral describes it as "mir-87 microRNA precursor family". It matches the Rfam family "mir-87 microRNA precursor family". The record is from Rfam by way of RNAcentral. Lineage: Eukaryota; Metazoa; Nematoda; Chromadorea; Rhabditida; Dracunculidae.
UGCUUGAAGCCUGGAACUUCGACUCAACCUUAGUUUAAUAAGUGUAGGUGAGCAAAGUUUCAGGUGUUCAAGCGC